UUCAGUCCUUGCAAUAAAGGGAACAGCGCAACAUCUGACGUGUCAAAUAACGAUACUAGAUUGUCGGUAUCUUAUGUGCUGUCCAGACAGAGCCUGAACAAGAACCAGAGGAACUGUAAGAGUCUAGCCACUGGCAUUUAGUGGAGGUCAAGUGGAGGAACACUGUUACAGAUCUUACAAACCAUCCUGGAACUGACUGCUUAUGGUUGCAUUUUGAAACCUCACUUAUUUCUACAUCUGCACCACGGCACAGUAAAAGGCUCAUGUUUUGGAGCAGUCUCACCCACUUUGCUCCAGGAGGAAAGUGUCAUUACUGCCUACUGUACUGCAUGAGGCCCAACUCACUCUAUGCCAAGGAAUAAAUUCCGAAAUUAUUACACAGACAAAGCUCACAGAAAGUGAGUUUGUAAUUCUUCAGCUCUCUGAAUUCUUCCCAGCUUUCUGGAAAGAACAGGGAAGUAUUUUCAAGAUUUUACUGCUGAAGAUACAUUUUGUUCUUGUGCCCACACAUACCUGGUAAGAACUAUGCCUCUGCCGCCUGUAAAUGCUCUUUUAGCUGACAUACUGUAUUACGGAUACUGUUGGAAAAGAAAGUAAAAAGGCAGACUCUUCCUGAAGCCUAUUUGUUUUUCUAUGUUUUCAUUUGCAGCACUGACAAAAAUUGCACAAUACUUGAAAUGAGUGUAUCUUUCCACUGCUUUUGCAUGUAAUCUGCUAUUUUAAAAUUUUAUUGACUUUAUCUGUCUAACUUGUAGGCCUAUGUAUGCAAUUGAGAAUCACUAACUAUUGUGUCUGGCUAAUAAUCAGAAAUUUUGAGUCACAAUCAGUUAAGAGAAAAUUAUAUGCUUUAUAGAGCUUUGUCCAUUUCUUCUGCAAUUCUUUGGUACUAUGAAAAGUUCAGGUGCUGAACAGUGUCAUUCCUGUUAAUGGUUUUUGUAUGUAUGUGUAUAUAAAUAAAUAAAUAAAUAAAAAGAUAUGAUUUAUCUCAGGAGGUGCCCUGAUCACUGGAAGGGUCUCCUGGCUCUCAGAACAAACAGAGGUUGUGUGAACCUUGAAAAAUGAGCUUCAAGGUCCUUUAUCAAGCUGUUGUGGUUCAAAAAAGAGAUUUUUUUUUUUUUUUUUUAAUAUGUAUGCAUAAUCAGAUCUCCCAGAGAUUUACUUUCUAUGCAGAGAUGACAUUGAGAGCACUGUUUCAAUUUACUCUUACAUCAUAUAGAUGCAAAUGAGAACCUGAGCAGGUUUACUCACCUGGCACUAUAGUCUACAGUACAGUGCAGGCACUAAUGUGAACCAUGCAAUGUGGUUCAGAGCAUAUCAGCAUGAACUCAUGAUUUAUUGCAGUUCUGUCUGUCCUUGUGGUGUCAGUACUACGGAGUUUGUGGGCAGCUUCAGAAGGAUUAAGGCUGUGGAGCAGUGAAAUGGGAGAUAGUGGGGCAAGCACUGCAGCUGGCGAAACAGGGAUCCUCCUGCUAAUCCUUGCACCAGUGCCACUGCCAGACAUGCUGUUCCUCUCUGUGUACCCAUUGCAUGGGCCUGCUCAUCUCAAAUGAAAAGUCUUGGACCUUGUUGAUACCCAGGAUCAAUUUGUCAAGCUGCCCAACUACUUUAGAUCUGUAACUGAUGCACUUCUAUGGGGAAAACAACAACAAAAAACAGAACCUUGCCCCUGCCUUUGGCUGUUUGGGGAGAAAUUGUAAAUCAGAUAAAAUUAGAUAAACAUCAUAGAAAGUUCCUAUGAAGCAGCUUCCCUUCUACUUCCUCUCCUCCACAUUAUGGUCGGAGUAAGAAGACUUUUUUGCUGAAUCAGCGGGUGCAUCGGUGCAGCAGCUCCAGACCAACAGACACCAGCACAAAUGGUGUGAGCAAGAGGAGAGAGCUGUAGGGGCAGCACAGCUCAGCCCAAACACACAGCUUUAAAACAGCACUGUGGGAUUUCAGGUGCUGGGACAGAAUUGAUUUCAGUAAGCAUUCAUGUACCAGAGGACAUCUGACAGCCCAGAGUGCAGGCACAGGCACCUGACUGCGCAGUUUCUCUCCUUCAGCACAAAGAUUUGGCAGCCUUUGUUGCAGUUAUAUUAUUCCACUGGGGACCAGAAAUUUCUUUCUCAUUGACCUCAUUGUCUCACCUUGCUCCAACCAGCUAAGCUUUCUUGGCAGACUUGCAGUUUUUCCUGCAUAUUUCCCCACAAAAGACCAUUUUAAUUACAGUUUUGCUGCAAACAAUGCAAUUUAUCUGCAGGUAUUUCCUCGUGUUGACUAUAUUUCUGAAAACUGUUCCCUGCAAUGUGAUGAGUGUCUGCAAGUAGCAGGUGAGUACAUAAGGGCAGAGAGAUGUAGGAGUGUUUGUCCUCUCCUCUCUGGCCUCUACAGAAAAGCCUUAUGCCUAUAGUACUCCAUUCUGCAUCACGUUAAUUACAUUGUACUCUUGAUUAAAUUAAGGAGCCCUAUGCAGCAGGGUCAAAUUAAAUCUAAUAAAUGUGUUGAAUAGAAACUGAACAGUCGACUUCAUGCAUGCUCAGGAAAUUGAGUGGAAAGCUGAAGAACAGAGAAAAAUGGAGGAAAAUAGAGAGUUUUAUUCUGUAUUAAAAUGUUUGAGUGCUUGGUAAUAUUGCUAACAGAAAACUUGAACAAAGAUUUUUAAACCACCAGAAACUCAGACAAUUUUACCAUUUUUUCAGACACACUUUUUCACUUAAAUGAAAUUUUGGUCUUCAUAAAAUCUCUCUAUAUUGCACAUUUAAUUUCAGCACAAAAGUUAGCUAGCUGGACAGUAUUUUAAUUAUGGCAACUACAAUCGAUACAACCAAGGUUUAAAGUAAAGUUUUAUGGUUAUUUUAUAAACUUAGGAAUGUACUGUAGCAAUUUAUAAUGGCAACAUUGAUUCAACCCGCAUUUAAGGAAUAACUAGGGCAAGUUGUCUGGUGGGUGGUAGACCAAACCCCAUGGGCUGUUUGCGCUGAGUUGCAGGUAAGGCUUGCCAACGUGGAGCACUCACACCGUACCAGGGAGAGACAAAAUGGCUGGGUGUGCGUGAUCCUCUUCUGCUGCCCGCCUUGAGGAUGCAUGAAACCUUUAAGUACUUAGGGUCAUAUCCUUGAAGUUAUUUAGGUGUCCAUUAGUCUGUGAAAUUAGUAAUUUGAAUGCUUACCUGUCUCUGAAAACAUGGUUGUCAGCAGUCAAACUAACAGGACUUAACAUGGGAAAAAUAACUUGA
Molecule: long non-coding RNA, 3214 nt
Organism: Oxyura jamaicensis (ruddy duck)
Lineage: Eukaryota; Metazoa; Chordata; Aves; Anseriformes; Anatidae
Exons: 4
Source: RefSeq, a predicted model, not a curated record